RNAcentral lists this ribosomal RNA (405 nucleotides) under uncultured bacterium. RNAcentral's name for it is "bacterial SSU rRNA". It matches the Rfam family "Bacterial small subunit ribosomal RNA", at positions 355 to 776 of the family's 1533-position model. The record is from RNAcentral.
CCAAGGAUAUUCCCCAAUGGCCGAAAGGCUGAGGGAGCGACACCGCGUGAACGAAGAAGCCCUUCGGGGUGUAAAGUUCUUUUCUAUAGGAGCAAUCUUGAGUGUACUAUAGGAAUAAGCCGCUGCUAACUUCGUGCCAGCAGCCGCGGUAAGACGAAGGCGGCAAGCGUUAUCCGGAUUUAUUGGGCGUAAAGUGUGCGUAGGUGGUUUGUUAAGUUGGAUGUUAAAUCCCUGUGCUCAACAUAGGGGCCGCAUCCAAAACUGGCAGACUUGAGGUCGGGAGAGGCAAGCGGAAUUGUCGGUGUAGGGGUGAAAUCCGUUGAUAUCGACAAGAACACCAAAAGCGAAGGCAGCUUGCUAGAACGAUUCUGACACUGAGGCACGAAAGCGUGGGGAGCAAAAAGG